GGGGUUGGCCAACUAUCAAUGUAUAGAGCACAUUGAUAGCAAAGUUGUUUACAUAACUUACACUUUUAGUCCUUAAAUACCAUACGAAUUGAGCAUGUUUUAUCUCUCCUUCUGAGAUCAUUAAAUGGGUCAUUAAAUAUAGGGACUAUAAGCAACUGUCAAUAUUGAUUAGGGUAGUUCAAUGUUAACAUUGUUGAUUUUUGAAGCUUUAUUAUGAACUUGGAAGCAAAGGCGCCACACACUGAAAUUAAGGAGAUCCAAAGACUUACUUUGAUAAUAGAAAAUUCAUAGCGAUUAUCAUAGGUUCAUAUGAUAUCACAUUAAUUGUUAUGCAAAACUUAUUCUUGUGAGUUCUCAAAGGUAGUUAUCCUCUCUAUUCAUCCCACAGAACCAAUGGCUCCAGUCUGAUUUAAACAUGGGUCCGUGCUCACACACUCAAUACCUACCCUCUGUGCUCACAAGUCCUGUGUGAGUAAGACUCCAAAUUAUUCUGUCUUGUUUUACUCAAUGGUAUGCUCUACCUUAUUAUAGAGUAUACCAUGUAUUGAGACAAGAAUGCCAGUCAUUCUGAGAAACAAAAUGCAACCAUUAGUUGUCAUUUUAAUUAGUGACGAAUAGUUGUGUCAAUCAUCAAACAUGCUUGUAUAAUUGGAUGAGAAGAGGUGUAACACGGGCCAAUGAUGACGAGGUUUCGGGAUUAUAAGUCACGGACGAUGACUACGUCACUAGAGGUCUGAGGUCCAUAGCAGAAGAUGCCUCAUGUGACCCUCUCAUGCAGGGGUUGCAUGUCAGGCAUGUGCAUACAGUAGAUAUUAGCCAUGCACUCUCACCAUUUCAUAGUAGAUCACAGAAUCAAGAUACAAAUCUCCAUGCACGGAAAGGAUUUAAGGCAUUGAUCAAUCCUGAACAUAAAUAUUUGGCCAUCAAUGAUAUUUACGCACACACUGAAAAAUCUAUUCAGAAUGACUUACACAAAGGUUUAUAUAACCUUUAUCAAAGGUAAUUUAUAUAGUAAGAUUCAUGGCUGAAGUCUUCAUGAUGGUCAAGGCCUUAAUUUUUAAAAUUAUCAAUUUUUUUCUUUUCUUUUUUUUUAACUUGAAUUUUUUUUUAAUGAAAACUAUCAUGACAAUUUGUCUCUUAAAUGAAAGGAGAAAUGUAAAACUAAAUGGACAAAUAUCAACCUUUUUAUUAUCUUUGCUGUUGUGCCCUCCCUGGAUGGGUGCUGGCACAUGAUGUCUUGCCUGCUGGUCCGUGGUUGCACUCUCACCAUGUGGAUGGAGCUCGGCAGCUGAAAAUGCAUUCUUCCACCAAGAUGAUUUACACAGCCUAGCUGGAUCAGGAGCCCCCUAAUAAGCUGCUUCAGAUUGUAAUAUAGACACAGUAAUGUAUGCCUGCAGGAUGAGUCCCACCUUCUUCAUUAGUCUUGAGGUUUGAGAUUCCCUGUUUGUGUCUGCAGGAUUCAGAUAGUGUGAGUAUAGUCUGUGUUCUUGUGUUGGAAUUCUUUUGCUUGCAUAAAAACAGGGUAGAAAAUAUUUCUGGGGCUGGUGAGAUGGCUCAGAGGUUGAGAGCACUGACUGUUCUCCCUGAUGUCCUGAGUUCAAUUCCCAGCAACCCCAUGGUGGCUCACAACCAUCUGUAAGGGCUCUGAUGCACUCUUCUGGUGUGUCUGAUGACAGCAGCAGUGUACUCCUGUUCCUAAAAUAAAUAAUUAUUUUAAAUACAUUAUUAUCUCUGAAGAGCAGAUGUAGCCAUAGGCAUAUAAGAUGUAUAUGAAGCACAAUGUUUAAUAAAAUUUUACCAAAUUAAGAUUGUGCAACAAUAGAGAUAGGCAUCAGUGCAGAAGAUCCCGUAGAGGUUUAACUGCACUCACGGAUCUUAUAGUUAGGGCUUGUCUCCAGUGGAGAUUUUCGCAAUGGUCCUAGUCAUCCAUUGCUCAAUAAUUUUACAUAGAUUAGUAGGGAAGAGGAGGACUGAUGUUGGAUCAAUGAUGAAUGUCUGUGAGCAUUCUUAGAGUCAUGAAUCAUGACGACAAAUUUAAUUCUGAGAUCAACAUCAUAAAGUAUCCAGUGACAGCUAUAAGAAGUAGUCUUCUUUUAUAAGUCAGUAAAUGUAAAUAAAAAUUGACUAGGAAGUCAUUUAAUCAAAAGGCAGCUCACAAAGAAGACUACAUAUAUGUAUAUAUGUAUAUAUGUAAGAAGAAAGUGUGACAGAGUAAUGACCAUGGAGGUGAGGGAUAAGAUGAAAUGAGCAGAAGCAGGCAGAAUACAUAGAUAAGCGAACGGAACAUCAAUCUCUUUAUAACCUCUUCUGUCUAUACUUCAAGAAUGGAUAUCCUGCAAGUCGGCUUCGUAGAGUCUCCCUUGAAAGUGGACCUCAUGAUCUAGCCUUUAUGUCCGUGGAUUGACACUGUGAUGGAUUCCCCCCAAGUUCAUUUAGAUAUUCUCUCUUAUUCAUAAAUGUCACGGUCAGCUCUGUUCUUAUAGAUACCAGGUGAGUAUAGCCAACGUUCUUUUGUUGCUUCAUGUUGCUUUUUAAUGGCUGUGCAUAUACUGAGAAAAGAAAGUCCAGUUAUUAUCUGGGAAGAGCAUCCCGCUUAAAGUGUUAAAUGGCAGUUAGAUGAAACAGAAUGUUUAUGAGUAUUUCCAGAAGAGGAAUGUAUAACAGAAAAGAUUCUAAUCAUGGCAAAAGAUCCUGAGGACCUUCAGAGUACACGCAACGAUCUUGUCCUUAGAUUGUGUCAUUUAUUAUCAUCUUAGAGGCACUAGUGAGAUUAAUUGCUCAAAAAAAAAAAAAAACCAUUGAUAAAUCAAUAGAGAAGGAUAGAGCUGAGGUUGGGUCACUGAAGACACACUGUGUGUAGGAGUCUGAGGUCCAUAUUAUGAAUAUAGUUUGUACCCAUAUUCUUAGACAAAAAUGGGAAAGGCUUAUGGGAAACAACACUAUUUUUUAUUUAAUUGAACAUCUUAAAUUUUAAUUGUCAAGUAAUUUUCUAAGUAAGAUAUCAUUCUAUAGAAAGUGUACUAAAAUUACAUACCAAACUCAGUAGUUAAUAAACAGUGGUUAAUUGAGCUUGCCAUGUAAUGUGUUACUUGGUAGGUUCAUAGCCAUAGCCAUUUCUUUUCUCAUAAAAUAUUCAUUAUAGUAUGCCAUACACUUAGAUGAGUGACAAAAAGCACAGGGCUGUGAAUGCAAUGGUCUGUAGACAGAGUGUCAUGGGUUUUCUUUAAUAAUUUCUUCUGCUUUUGCUCUCAGAAUGGAUACCCCAAGGUAAGCUAUGGUCAUCACCUUCACAAUCUGAUUCCUUACAAGUGUAUUCAGUGUGCAUGUCUUUCUUGACAUUGCAUCUAAAGAUUGGGUACUGUAUUGUUGAAACCCUAGUUAUGACCCAUUGGUUAAUAUGACAUGUAUGUAAAUACAAUAUUUCACAAAA
This 3430-nucleotide long non-coding RNA is filed under the name Mus musculus (house mouse). RNAcentral's name for it is "RNA imprinted and accumulated in nucleus". The stretch from base 671 to 744 matches the Rfam family "Small nucleolar RNA SNORD113/SNORD114 family". The record is from RNAcentral. Lineage: Eukaryota; Metazoa; Chordata; Mammalia; Rodentia; Muridae.